UGCAGAUGAUGUGAAAGAAUAUUUGCUAUCUAAAUCAGCAAUGUUGACAAUUUCCGCCAAGAUCUCUGAUGCA
Small nucleolar RNA from Lampris incognitus (smalleye Pacific opah), 73 nucleotides. RefSeq annotates it as small nucleolar RNA SNORD24. The transcript has a single exon. The record is from RefSeq and is a predicted model, not a curated record. NCBI's taxonomy places the organism in Eukaryota, Metazoa, Chordata, Actinopteri, Lampriformes, Lampridae.